This 323-nucleotide ribosomal RNA is filed under the name uncultured eukaryote. RNAcentral's name for it is "partial 18S ribosomal RNA". It matches the Rfam family "Eukaryotic small subunit ribosomal RNA", at positions 1470 to 1796 of the family's 1831-position model. The record is from RNAcentral.
CCCUUAGAUGUUCUGGGCCGCACGCGCGCUACACUGAUACAUGCAACGAGUUUAUAACCUUGAUCUGACGGUCUGGGUAAUCUUCAAACCGUAUCGUGUUAGGGAUCGAUUCUUGCAAUUUUUAAUCGUAAACGAGGAAUUCCUAGUAAACGCAAGUCAUCAGCUUGCAUUGAUUACGUCCCUGCCCUUUGUACACACCGCCCGUCGACUCUACCGAUUGAAUGGUUCGGUGAAAACUUUGGACUGUGGCAUUGUCCUUCAUUGGACUUCGCCGUAGGAAAUUGUUUAAACCUCAUCAUUUAGAGGAAGAAUAAGUCGUAACA